GAGCGCCGGCUGCCCUGACGUCAGCAUGGCCGCGGCCCCUGACUACCCAGCUCCCUUCUAUCCCUCGAGCGGCAGGAAUCCGUCCCCACGCCCUUUUCCUUUAAAGGGCAACGGGCCGAAGGUGGGGCGGGCGGCGCGGCUCCCGCGAUCCAUUCAGGUCAAAAGGGAGAGUGAUCAAACAGGAGAGCCGAGGGGACCUAUAUUCAGAGACUUAACCGGACACCUGGACAGACCAUUACAACUUGGGACUUUUCAGGAGAAUGAGGGAAAUGUAGUUAUUGCACCUGAGCCUCACUCCAGCUCUGAGGUCCUCUUCACUUCUCUUUGGAAGAAAAUUGGAUAUCUUUUCCUAGUUGAAAGAGUAGAGAUCUGAUUUCUCCAAGGAUCAUCGCUUUUUGACACGGGAUUAUUAGAAGCAUUCAUUCAUCUAUCAAGGAGUUUUGGGAUACUUGCCAUAAGCCAAGCCCUCUGAUAGGUGCUGGAAACAUCAAGCUCUGUGCCCAGGAAGUUCAUCCUUGGACUGCACGCAUGAACGAGUUUGCUGUCUUCCCAUUGGAUUCAGCCAGUCCGCGGUCCUGGAAGAAGAAAUACUUUCCCAGACAAAUAAAAGCUGAGGAAUAUCAUCAACAUCAGACCUGUCUUACAAAAAAUGCUAAAGGGAGUUCUUCAAUCCAAAAGAAAAAGAUGUUAAUGAGCAAAAAUAAAUCAUCUGAAGGUGCAAAACUUGCUGGUAAUUGUAAGUACAAAGAAAACACAGAAUAUUAUAACACUGUAACUUACAUGCUGUGGUGUGUAAACUACUCAUAUGUUAAGUAAAAAGACUAAAAUAUAAAUCAAUUAAAAUAAUAAUUGCAACAACUUUUCAAGACAUAGACAGUACAAUAAGAUACAAAUAGGAACAACAAAAUGUUAAAAAGCAGGUUGACACAGUUAAGGUGUAAAGGUUUUAUUAGUUUUCCCUUUGCUUCUUUGUUUAUGCAAUCAGUGUUUAGUUGUCAACAGUUUAAAAUAAUGGUUAUAAGAUAUUGUUUGCAAAUCUCAUGGUGACCUCAAAUCAAAAACAUACAACAGAUACAUGAAAAAUAAAAAGGAAGAAAUUAAAACAUACCACUGGAGAAAAUCACCUUUACUAACAGAAAGACAGGAAGGAAGGAAAGAAGGAAGAGAAGACCACAAAACAACCAGAAAACUCACAAUAAAAUGGCAGGAUUAAGUCUUUAUUUAUCAACAAUAACAUUGAAUGUAAGUGGAUUAAACUCUCUGAUCAAAAGACAUAGAGUGGCUAAAUGUAUAACAAAACAAGACUCAAUAAUCUGUGGCCUACAAGAAACACACUUCACCUAUAAAAACACAUAUAGAUUAAAAAUAAAGGGAUAGAGAAAGAUAUUCCAUGGAAACAGAAACGAAAAAGAAGCAGGAGUAUCUAUACUUGUGUCAGACAAAAUAGAUUUCAAGACAAAAACUGUUAAAAAAGAUAAGAAAGCUCAUUAUAUAAUGAUAAAGUAGUCAAUUCCUCAAGGAGGCAUAACAAUUGUAAAUAUAUAUGCAUCCAACACUGGAACACCCAGAUAUAUAAAGCAAAUAUUAUUAAAGAAAGAGAUAGACCUCAGUAUAAUAAUACCUGGACAUCCAGUAUAAUAAUACAUCCAGUAUAUAUAUAUGCAUCCAACACUGGAACACCCCAGAUCAUCCAGAUCUAAAAUCAAGAAAUAAACAUUGGACUUAAUCAGCAUUAUGGAUGAAAUGGACCUAAAAGAUAUUUAUAGAACAUUUCAUCCAACAGCUGCAACAUAUACAUUCCUUUCCUCAGCACAUAAAUCCUUCUCAAUAAUAGACAAUAUGUUUGGCUACAAAAUAAGUUGCAAAGAUUUAAAAAAUGAAAUUAUAUUAGAAUCUUUUCUUACUACAAUGGAGUAAAACUAGAAAUCAAUAACCAGAGAAAUUUUGGAAACUAUACAAACACUUUAAAUAAUAUGCUCUGGAAUAACCAGUGGGUCAAUAAAGAAAUUAAGAAGGAGAUUUAAACAUUUCUUGAGACAAAUAAUAAUGGUAACAAAACAUACAAAAAUGUAUGGGAUAUAGUAAAAAUAGUACUAAGAGGAAUGUUUAUAGCUAUAAACAUCUACAUCAGAAAAGUAGAAAAACUUCAAGUAGACAACCUAACAAUGGAUCUUAAAGAAAUAGAAAACCAAGAGCAAACCAAACCCAAAAUUAAUGGAGGAAAACAAAUAAUAAAUAUCAAAGCAGAUAUAAAUGAAAUUGAAACAAAGGAAACAACCCGAAUAAUCAACAAAAUGAAAAGUUUUUUACAAAGAUAAUAAAAAUCCACAAAACUUUAGUCAGACUAAUUAAGAAAAAAAGAGACAAGACCCAAAUAAAUAAAAUCAGAGAUUUUAAAAAAAGGAGACACAUUACUACGGAUACUGCCAAAAUUCAAAGUAUCAUUAGAGGCUACUAUGAGCAACUAUAUGCCAAUAAAUUGGAAAACCUAGAAGAAAUUGAUAAAUUCUUAGACACAUACAGCCUACCAAGAUUGACUCAUGAAGAUAUCUAAAACCUGGACAGACCAAUAACAAGUAAUGAGAUCAAACCCAUAAUAUAAAAUUUCUCAGCAAAGGAAACCACAGGAUCCAGUGGCUUCCCUGCUGAAUUUUUACCAAACAUUUAAAGAAGAAAUAAUACCAAUCCUACUCAAACUAUUCUAUAAAAUAAUGGAGGAGGGAAUACUUUCAGACUCAUUCUAUGAGGCCAGUAUUAUCCUGAUACCAAAACCAGACAAAGACAUAUCAAAAAAAAAAAAAAAAAAAAAAAAGAAGAAGAAGAAAGAAAAAGAAAACAAAGAAAACUAUGGGCCAGUAUUAUUCCUAAUGAACAUUGAUGCAAAAAUCCUUACAAAAUACUAGCAAACCAAAUUCAACAACACAUUAAGAAGAUCAUUCAUCAUGACCAAAUAAGUUUAAUCCCAGGGAUGCAAGGAUGAUUCAACAUUUGCAAAACAAUCAUUGUAAUAAAUUAUAUCAACAGAAUGAAAGAAAAAAACAUAUGAUUAUUUCAAUUGAUGCUCAAAAAGCAUUUGAUAAAAUUCAACAUCUCUUCAUAAUAAAACCUAAAAAAACUGGGUACAGAAGGAACAUACCUUAACACAAGAAAAUACAUAUAUGACAGACCCAAAGCUAGUAUUAUACUGAAUAAGGAAUAACUGAAAGACUUUCCCCUAAGAUCUGGAAUAAGAUAAGGAUGCCCAUUUUCACUGCUGUUUCUCAACAUAGCACCAGAAGUCCUAGCUAGGGCAAUCAGAGAAGAGAAAAAAAUAAGGAACAUCCAAAUUAGAAAGGAGGACAUCAAAUUAUCAUUGAUUGCAGAUGAUAUGAUCUAAUAUUUGGAAAAACCUAAAGAUUCCACUAAAAACCUAUUAGAACUGAUAAACAAACUCAUAAAGUUGAGGACACAAAACCGACAUACAAAAAUCAGUAGCAUUCUAUAUGCCAGCAGCAGACAAUCUGAAAAAGAAGUCAAGAAAGUAAUCCUGGCCAGGUAUGGUGGCUCAUGCCUGUAAUCUCAGCACUUUGGUAGGCCGAGGCAGGAGGAUCACUUGAUGGAGGAGUUUGAGAUCAGCCUGGCCAGCAUGGUAAAACCCCAUCUCUAUUAAAAAUAUAAAAGUUGUCCAGGCAUGGUGGCAUGGGCCUAUAAUCCCAGAUACUUGGGUGGCUGAGAUAUGAGAAUCACUUGAACCCAGGAGGUGGAGGUUGCAGUGAGCAGAGAUCAUGCCACUGCACUACAGCCUGGGUGACAGGGUAAGACCCUAUUUCAAAGAAGAGGAAGAAGAAGGAGGAGGAGGAGGAGGGGGAGAAAGAAGAGGAAGAAGAAGAAGGAGGAGGAGAAAGAAGAGGAAGAAGAAGAAAAGAAGAAGGAGGAGGAGAAGAAAGAGAGGAAGAAGGAGAAGAAGAAGAGGAAGAAGAAGAAGUAGAAGAAGGAGGAGGAGGAAGAAGAAGAAGAAGAAGGAAGAAGAAGGAAUAAGAGGAAGAAGAAAGAAGAAGGAGGAAGAAGAGGUAGAAGAAGAAGAGGAAGAAGAGAGAAGAGGAAGAAGAAGAAGGAGGAGGAAGAGGAAGAAGAAAAAGAACAAGAACAAGUAGAAGAAGAAAAACAGGAACUAGAAAGAAGAGGAAGAAGGAGGAGAAGAAAAAGGAGAAAAGGAAGGAGGAGGAGGAAGAGGAGAAGGAGGAGGAGAAGGAGGAAGAGGAUGACGAGGAGGACAAGAAGGAGGUAAUCCCAUUUACAAUAGCAAAAAAAGUAGGAAUUAACCAAAAACGUGAAAGAUGAAAGAAAUUGAAAGAGGACACCAAAAAAAAAAAAAAAAAAAAAAAGAAAGAUAGUCAAUUUUCAUGGUUUGGAAUAAUGAAAACAUCAAAAUUGCUAAAAUGCCCAUACUACCUAAAGUAAUCUACAGAUUCAAUGUAAUCCCCAUGAAAAUACCCAAAAUACCCAUGACAUUCUUCACAGAAAUAGAAAACAAUCCUAAAAUGUAUAUGGAACCAUGAAAGACCCAGAAUAGCCAAAGCUGUCCUGAGCAAAAGAAUGAAACUGGAGGAAUCACAUUACCUGACUUCAAAUUAUACUACAAAGCUAUAGUAAUCAAAACAGCAGGGUACUGACAUAAAAAACAGACAUAUAGACCAAUGGAACAGAAUAGAGAAUCCAGACACAAAUCCAUAUAUCUACAGUGAAUGCAUUUUUGGCAGCAGUGCCAAGAAUAUAAACUGGGGGAAGGACAGUCUCUUUAAUAAAUGGUGCGAGGAAAACUGGAUAUCCAUAUGCAGAAGAAUGAAACUAGGACCCUAUCUCUUUCCAUAUACAGAAAUCAAAUCAAAAUGGAUUAAAGACUUAAAUCUAAGAUCUCAAACUAUGAUACUACUACAAUAAAACAUUGGGGAAACUCUCCACAACACUGGGCAGGGGAAAGAUUUCUUGAGUAAUAGACCACAAGCUACAGGCAGCCGAGGCAAAAGUGGACAAAUGGGAUCACGUUAAGUUAAAAAGCUUCUUCACAGCAAAGGAUACAAUCAACAAAGUGAAGAGACAACCCACAGAAUGAAAGAUAAUAUUUACAAACUCUCUAACUGACAAAGGAUUAAUAACCAGAAUAUGUUUAAUACAAGGAGCUCAAACAACUCUACAGGAAAAGAAAAAUCUAAUAAUCUGUUUCAAAAAUAGGCAAAAGAUGUAAGUAGACAUUUCUCAGCAGAAGACAUACAAAUGGCAAAUAGGUACAUGAAAAGGUGCUCAACAUCACUGAGCAUCAGAGAUGUGCAAAUCAAAACUACAAUAAGAUAUAAUCUUAUUCCAGUUGAAAUUCCUUUUAUCCAAAAGCCAGGCAAUAAUAAAUGCCGACGAGAAUGUGCAGAAAAGGACCCGUCAUAUACUAUCGGUGCGAAUAUAAAUUAGUUCAAUUAAUAGGGAGAACAGUUUGAAGGUUCCUCAAAAAAACUAAAAAUAGAGCUACCAUAUUAUUCAGCAAUCCCACUGCUAGGUGGGAUUUUCUUCCCAAAAUAAAGGAAAUUAGUAUAUCAAAGAGAUGCCAGCACUUCCACGUUUAUUGCAGCGCUAUUCCCCAAUAACGAAGAUUUCAAAGGAAUUUAAAUGUCCAUCGGCAGAUGAAUAAAGAAAAUGUGGCACAGGACAUAAAAAGAAUAAGAUUCCAUCUUUUGCAACAACAUGAAUGAAACUGGAGGUCAAUAUAUUAAGUGAAAUAACCCAGGCACAGAAAGACAAACUUGGCAUGUUCUCACUUAUUUCUGGAGCUAAAAAUUAAAACAACUGGACUCAUGGAUACAGAGUAGAAUGACGGUUAUCAAAGGCUGAGCAGGGUAGUAGGGGGGAAAUGGGGAUGGUUAAUGUGUACAAAAAUGUAGUUAAGUAGAAUGAAUAAGAUCUACUAUUGAAUAGCACAAGAGGAUGACUACUGUCAACAAUAAUUUAUUGUGCAUUUAAAAGUAACUAAACAAGUAUAAUUGGAUUGUCUGUAACACAAAGUAAGGAUGAAUGCUUGAGGUGAUGGAUACUCCAUCUACCCUGAUGUGAUUAUUACACAUUGUCUGCCUAUAACAAAAGAUCUCAUAUACCCCAGAAAUAUAUGCACCUACUACUUACUAUGUACCCAAGAACAUUAAAAAUAAAAGUCAGUUUAGUGUAGGAAUGCCCUUGAUGAAGGAAUAAAAGUAUUAAUCUUAUUAAAUUUUGAACCUUGCAUAUUGUACUAUGUGAAGAAAUACGAAACCCACAUGACAUAUUUCUGUUGCAAACCAAGUAUGAUGGCUGUCUUGAGGGAAAGCACUUUGGCAAUAGUUGAGGCUGUGAGCAGAACUAAUUGCUUUUUUCACUGAACACCAUUUUCACUUGAAAGAAAUGACAAGACAAACCAUGGUUAUUUAGACUUGGGCAUUGGCAGACACUUCCUUUUAAAUAAAUGAAGUGUUCUUGUUACUUCAAGAGACAUAACUAACAGCAUUUGUUGCCAAUGAAAAAUUCAAGCAUCAAUUGAAUAACAGUUUUAGAAUUUUGGAAAAAUUUGUAUCUGUUGAUCUGAGCUUGGUGGCUUGCCAAUGCUUACAGAAUUUCUUAUUCUUUUUUAUUUUCAUAGAAAUAUGUACAUUAACAUGUAAUGAGUUUAUUACUGUUAUUUGAAAACAAAUUAAUAAAUAUCCUUUAUGUUUCCCAACUUUAAUUUUAAAUAUAGAACAUAUUGAAAGAUGUUUACCUCCCACAAGCAAAUGGUCUUUGGAGUCUUCUUUUUUUAAGUAUAGAAAGAUAUAUUAAAACCAAUAGAGGUUGAGAACAGCAGUUAAGAGUUACCUUUGUCCUUUGAAUAAACUCUUGAAGAGGCAUUUUGCUAAACACCUUCUUUCCAUCAUUUCUGAACUUCUCCUUCAGUGGUCUGUUUCUUUGUGUGUGUGUGUCUCUCUCUGUCUUUCUCUCUGUAUGCCUCUCUCUGUCUCUAUCAUGAGCAUUUAGGUAAAGAAAAUCUCUUUGAGCAGUUAAAUUAGGGGCAGUGUUUCUAAAAAAUAAAACAGUUUCCACUGGGCUAGGAGAUUUUCCUAUAUUAUCUGCUUUAUAGUUCCCCAAAUAAUUUCCUUCUUUUUUUAGUAACUUAAUUUUAUAUUUUCAGUGACUCCACAUGCAGGACUGUAAAAUAGGAAAAAAACAGUAUCUUACACCUAUAUGUCAUUAAGAAGGCAGAAAGAAUAAAUGGGAAAGAAACAGUCAAUGAAAAUAGAACCUACAUACACAAAAUGCAAAUGCAAGUGCCAGGGGUCAUUUUAUUUUUGUAAAGCCUGGGAUGUGUCCAUUUCCCCUGAAAUAUCUAUUCUGUGUUAUGCCGGUUACAGAUGUUGCCACAAUUACCGCUGACAGUGUGGCUUUACAGAGACUUAAUGACAAGAUGAUUACUUGGGCAGAAGAGUAACUGGAGCCCACAUACGUGAAAAGAAUGACACAGGCCCACACACUGAGAUUCUCAGCAAGUCAAUAGCGAUGACCAUUACACUUUCUAAGUGAUAUUAUCAGUAAUGCUGUCAAAUCAGCCAAGCACAGAAUAUGUUAUAGGAAGAAAGCUCUGGGGGCUGUUUUGAUAGAAAGCGAGGUUUAGGCCACUUAGAAACUAUUCCACUUGGAGGAGGCUAUCAUUUCAUUUUUACCAUAUGUAGAAUUCUGCUGUGAGUUUUAAGCCACCAAUUCCCUCUUCUAUCUGGGUAUCAUUUCCUUUUAUGUGAUAUGAUAGGAUUGGACUCCUCAGUAGUGUUCAACCAAUGCAGACUUACCAGUGAAACCUCAAUAAACAAAACAGAGAGAAGCAGAGAUGCCUGGUUUAACGAAAAGAUGAGGAAAUUGUACAUCUCCCUUUGGGUCCCUACUGAGUUUCUCCUGGUCAGCUUCUGAAAUACGGCCAUGGACCCUGAGGCUUUGGGGUAUGCUGUUUGAGAAUGAUUAGAUUAAGUGCUGUUUAGGUCCAUGUGCUUCUAGGGGCUUUGUCAGAAAUCUGAGUAAUUUCUUUUAAUUAGAGAACUAGUUGGUGUCAAGUUCAGAAAUAUAUAUAUAUGUGUGUGUGUGUGUGUGUGUGUGUGUGCGCGCAUGUGUAUUAUGUAUAUAUGUGUUUGUAUCUGUGUGUUUGUAUUUGUGUGUGUGUGUGUGUGUGUGUGUGUGUGUGUGUGUGUGUGUAUGUGUAUCCUAUUGGUUCUGUUUCUCUGAAGAACCCUGGCUAAUGGCUAAUACAAUAAGCAUAUACUAGAUGACCUGGGUGACCUUUUAUAAUUGAAUUUGAACACACGAUGUCUGGUUAUAGUGACCCAGUUUGCCCAGGACUUUCCCAGUUUUAGCACUGCAAGUCCCACAUUUCAGGAAAUUCCUCAAUUCUGGGGCAAACCAGGAGAGAGGUCACCCUGAAUUAGAGCCACCUAGCAGACACUCAGGAGGUCAUAUAUAGACCCCUAGUGAUCUGCAGACCCCAGUUAAAGUUACACACAUAAGUUUAUGUAGGAAACAGAGUCCUGCUCUGAAAAUCAAGACAACUAGUUUCCUAUUCACUGGCAGUGAGAUCUUGGGUAAGGCAUUUAAAUAAAGUUGAUUAUUAUUUGCAAAAGAAUGAAUAAGCGACUGUGCAUAUAGAGUUGCCCAUUUUGCCUAUAUUUAUGUUCCUUGCUAUGGAGGGUAAAGCCGGUUCAACAGUAGGCAUUGGUUGUUUAGUUAAGCAAAAUCAGUUGCUUUCAGCUUCCCUAUUGCUAAUUAUAUGUCAGUAGAAGUUUAUUUUAAAUAUUUAAGUU
This 8813-nucleotide long non-coding RNA is filed under the name Homo sapiens (human). Its description in RNAcentral is "non-protein coding LMCD1-AS1:11". Lineage: Eukaryota; Metazoa; Chordata; Mammalia; Primates; Hominidae. The record is from RNAcentral.